This 463-nucleotide ribosomal RNA is filed under the name uncultured bacterium. RNAcentral describes it as "partial 16S ribosomal RNA". It matches the Rfam family "Bacterial small subunit ribosomal RNA", at positions 28 to 507 of the family's 1533-position model. The record is from RNAcentral.
GAUGAACGCUGACAGAAUGCUUAACACAUGCAAGUCGAGGGGGAAGUGGUGCUUUCACCUUGGCAACCAUGGCGGACGGGUGAGUAACGCGUAAGGGACGUACCUGCAGGACUGGGAUAACAGGGGGAAACUCCUGACAAGACCGGAUAAUGUCAUGGAGCUGCAUGGCUUUAUGAUGAAAGGAGACGCGUGCGGAGAGCCUUGCGUCCUAUUAGCUAGUUGGUGAGGUAAUGGCUCACCAAGGGGGAGAUAGGUAGCCGGCCUGAGAGGGUGGACGGCCACAAGGGGACUGAGAUACGGCCGUGACUCCUACGGGAGGCAGCAGUGGGGAAUAUUGGACAAUGGGGGCAACCCUGAUCCAGCAAUUCUGUGUGCACGAAGAAGGUUUUCGGAAUGUAAAGUGCUUUCAGAAGGGAAGAAGUAAGUGACGGUACCUGCAGAAGAAGCGACGGCUAAAUACGUG